UGGUAGCACUGACUGUGUGGGCCA
RNAcentral lists this unclassified non-coding RNA (24 nucleotides) under Mus musculus (house mouse). Its description in RNAcentral is "oocyte_clustered_small_RNA1643". The record is from RNAcentral. Lineage: Eukaryota; Metazoa; Chordata; Mammalia; Rodentia; Muridae.